Small nucleolar RNA from Prolemur simus (greater bamboo lemur), 74 nucleotides. Its record names the gene SNORD24. It matches the Rfam family "Small nucleolar RNA SNORD24". Rfam says of the family: U24 is a member of the C/D class of snoRNA which contain the C (UGAUGA) and D (CUGA) box motifs. C/D box snoRNAs have been shown to act as methylation guides for a number of RNA targets. Lineage: Eukaryota; Metazoa; Chordata; Mammalia; Primates; Lemuridae. The record is from Ensembl.
UGCAGAUGAUGUAAGAGAAUAUUUGCUAUCUGAAAGAUGGUGAUGACCUUUUAACCACCAAGAUCGCUGAUGCA